This is a long non-coding RNA of Felis catus (domestic cat), 2918 nucleotides long. RefSeq lists it as uncharacterized. Lineage: Eukaryota; Metazoa; Chordata; Mammalia; Carnivora; Felidae. The record is from RefSeq and is a predicted model, not a curated record. The transcript has 10 exons.
CAGGACUUCCCCGGGCCCACGAGCGACCCGGGAGCCCAGGAAAGUUUAAGCAGAAGCAGAGAGGGCGCGCGUUCCCCUGGCGGCGUCGAGAGAGCUUCCGGGUGUUUCCCGGCGCAAACUGAGCGGCUCCUCAGUUAGCGAGAAAUCUGAUGGAUGAUACUUUGGCAUCAUGUGACCCUCUUAUUUCCCAACUCCCUUUAACUCAAUAGCUUCAAUAUCUGCUGAUGAUUCUAGGGCUCAGGCCAUUUGACAAUUUUCAGCAUGAGAGAAUAGGAUCCAAGCAGAAAAGAGGAGUGUUACUGAACUGAGGACAGACAUUGGAAUUUAAAGAUACCAAUUUGCUGGAUACUUGAGCAAAAUCCUGAAAUGGAGGUAAUAUUAGUGAAGUGAGUCCAAAAGUCUCUGUGAAAUUUUCCCUUGAGGCAUUGCCAUCUCUAAAACUACACCAAAUGAGAUUUCAAGAACACCAGAAGAAAAGAGCAGGUGGAAGACUAACAAUCUAGAAAAGAUUUUAGCAAUAACACAACGCUUGAUCAUCAAGGUUGGAGUUCAAGCCCAAGAAGAUUUUCCUUUCCCAAACUGCAACUUCUCCACUAAUCCUGACAUGUACAAAAACUAAUACAACAUUUGUAACAAGGGUCUGGAACCCUUGGAGAGAUAACAGAAUAAAAUGGAAAGGCUAAGAGGAAUAUAUAAAAUGCAGAAAACAUACAGAAAACACUCAUGAAAAAAAAGAAAAAAACCCUGGUGAUGCUGAAAUUCAACAUGAGACAGGAGCAAUAACUCUUUAUCAAAACUUACCUCCAAGGGGUAAAUAAGGGAGUGUGCAGUAGCACCAGCCAAAGAAGCAGAAGCAAAUUGCUCAAAAGCUUUUAAAGUGACUCCUCCAGAAGAAAGAAACGUCUUAUACUGUAUUAAUAAGAGUUCAAAGGAGAUGGAGAGGACAUGAAGUCGACAAUGUACUGGAAGAACCAACCUUGAAAAGAAGAAAUACCUCAUUCCUUGGGACUAUGGAAAUGAAGUGAUCAGGAAUGUAAAUAAAGGAGAGCCAGAAACCCAAAGGAACUUCUAUUUACUCGUUGACAUACAAGGCAUGUACAGCUACUGGAAGAUGGGAGCAAGGAAUGACAGGGGCUGUGGCUGGGACAAAUGAGGUAGAAACCAACGAAGAGGAAGAUAUGGAAUAUAAAAAAGGUGAAACUAACCCAAGAGUCUAAUGAAAAACAAUUCCAGAGUGAAGCUGUGCACAGGGUUUACAAUCUAAAUCAGAAGAGGAAGUCAGUGGGCCGCGACUAGAAUGUCUUCAAGAAGAAAAAAGAAAUGUAGUCUGUGCAGAAGAUAUAAUGACUAUAGAAAUGGAUGGUAUCAGCUAUAUGGCAGUGAAUAGAUAAUGUCUUUUAAAUUGAAAAGUCAAGAAAUGGCACCAACAGCACAUAAUUGAAAGUUGAAAAAGAAAAGAAAGUUGAGAGCAAGUCUGAAGGGGUUGAUAAAGACAGCUAUCAGCAAGACUUCAAGCAGAAGAGAAAUUCUGGUUCUCAACACUGACUGCACGACCAACGGGUGGAGAAGAACACAGUACCAGUUAAUACCAAAGAACAAAAGUUUCCUUUAUCUCCACAGCAUAUCUAUAGUAUGGGAAAGCCAUUACUUUAUUUACAAAGAUCAACUUAACUAAAGCAAAUAUAAGGUGACACAACAUUAAAGGCAUUUAAACUAAUAAGUGCUAAAAUUUUAUCUGUGCAUUUAUGUGUGUGUGCUUUUGAAAAAAAAAAAAAAAAGAUCUGAAUGCUAUAUUGAAGCCCCCACUGGAUAAGUUUAUUUUGUAGUUUAUUGAGUGUAUUAAACAAAGGACAACUAAAUUUUGGAGGACACCAAAGAUAACAAUGUUAGUUUUAGAAUUGUUAAUAUUAUGCCAUUUUUUUCUGACAUUUAUUUUACAAAGAUUGAUUACCCGUUGAGGUCAUUCUUGGUCAUUCUUGGAAGAAAAACUGUGUUAUCACACAAUCACCUACUCACCAUGCCCUCAUUUUUUUAAAAUGAUGAGGGCAAAGGGUCAGAAGGUGAUUUUGUUUUAGAGCACUUUCAAUUUCAGAAAAACUACUCCUGUGGUGCCCAAAUCUUUCAAUGCUAUUAAAAUGAAUACUUUAAAAGCAUCAGCACCCAUGAAUCUUUAUUAAGCCUGAACACAAUCCCUGUCUUCCUAAAUCUCAAUAAUCUCAAUUCUACCCAGAUGUCCAAGCUAGAAAUCUGGGAGCCAUUCUUGCCCUCUCCCUCUACCUUAUUCUCCUCAUAUCUGAUCAUCCCCUACAAACUCCUAUUGUCUAUAAUUUUAAAAUACAGCAUGAACUUUUUCAUGCUCUCUAGUUAUAGAUAUUCCAAGUCACCACUGUCUUUCAUUUGGGCUGCUACAAUAAUAAUGUUUAAAGUAAAAACAGCAACAGAUACUUCAUAAUAUUUACUUUGGGUCAGGCACUGCUUUAAGUACUUUACAUGUUAGCUCAUUUAUUCCUCUCAACAACCCUGUUAAGGUUUUUUAGUACAUUUCUGCACUAAGACAAGGAAACUGAUGCACAGAGGAGUUCGGUGACUUGUUCAAAUUCACACAACUAAGGAGGUGGAGAAGCCAGCAAUCACCUCCUUAUGCUCCCUCUGCAUUCACACCCAUCAUCCUCUGAUCUGAUAUCCACUCAGCAGCCAGUGUGAUUCUUUAAAGCAAGUAUCCUUUACCCAGACCCAGAAACUCUCUUAAGGUGAGAACAGAAAACAGAUUUAUUCUUUUUCCCCCAAAACCUGAUAAAAUCAGCUCUGCAGAAAGGCUCUUUCCUAAUGCCAAAAAGUCCCUUGACUUUUUUGGUACUCUCAGUUAAUCAAAAUUCUUCCCGUUAAUCACAAAGUAGUUCCAGUUCAAUAAUAAAAAU